This 953-nucleotide long non-coding RNA is filed under the name Pan troglodytes (chimpanzee). RNAcentral's name for it is "long non-coding RNA NONPTRT001068". The record is from RNAcentral. Lineage: Eukaryota; Metazoa; Chordata; Mammalia; Primates; Hominidae.
CAAUCCGAACUAUUUUCAUAAAUGGCAGGAUCCCAGGCUGAGGGAGUUCGAGGUUUGGGAGACAGUUUAGCAGUCGCUGAGUCCAAACAUGUUGUUUUCCUAGAAAAGAAAACUGAGAUCCAGGAAAGGGAAGUGAUUUUCCAAAGACACACCUGUGAAAGGUAAUAAUUUCACUGAACUGAUCUUAAGUGGCAGGUGCACUAAGAUUGUCUGCUAUCUUCACAACAACCCCGAAGUAAAUAAGUGUUCUUAUCUUGGCCUUACAGGUGAGGAGAACAGCCCAGUGAGGCUGAGGCCACACAAUUAGCCCCAGUCUUUGCACUACAACUCUACCAGGGAUCCUGGUUUGGCUCAUUUUCUUUCUUCUGCACCAUGAUUGUUCACCUUUUCAUUACCAGCAACAUACCCAAAGACCUAGCUAUAGACUCGUUGGAAUCUGUUACUUAGCAGCUGUGUGAAUCAAGUGUUCAAUAGGAAUAAUAAGAUGUAUUCAUCUUACCUUUUCAGAACAUUAUGAAGAACAAAUGUGGUAAGACAUAUGAAAAUGCUUUGUAAAGUGUUAGAUGCUUAAUACACAGAAGACAUUGCUUCCAGAUCUGUUUCAACGUACCCCAAGAAUGGAAUAAGUGGAAUAUGCUGGUUUCAUGCACUGUGGCAAGGGGGUCUCAUCUUGGCUAGACUUGAAUAAGUGGAUUUGUUGCCUGGCCUCUGUGGAUGGCUCUUUCUCUGGGCUUUUGUGUAUUUGAUUUUUUAUUUGUUCCAGCAGCCAUGUUGAACCAUGAAAGGACCUCAGGAAUGAAACCCACACACAGCAAAGCAGCAAAGUGAAAGAAGCGUGGAUUCCUAAUGCAGGAGGCACUGAACCAAUCAAUACCCACUGCCCUCCAGACCUCCACAUGAAAGAAAAAAACUGCUGUCCUGUGAAGAAGACACUCCCCAGAUGCCAGCAACUU